CUAGCCCACCAUACUUCACUUAUAAAUCUCUCUCUCUCUCUGAUUUUCUUUUUCUUUGAAAGGUGAAGCUGUGAUGAAGAUCUAGCUGUGUACCGGAGACGGUCUCUAACGAUUCCGUUGUUGACGGCAACACAACCCUCUAAGAAUUAUGGUGGUGAGGUAAAUUGGCGAGGUGAUGAUAGAAAUUCAGACCAAGUCUGUCAAUCCGCUGAACUAUAGUGUGACGACUCCAUGAAUCCCGACAGGUUCUGAUCGCUAUUUUAUGUCGCCACCGAUUUGAAUUUCCAAGGCACGGUUAUAAGUCUUAGACAUACACUCAUACCCAAGUCCUUUCUAAUCUAACCUAGUGAAACUAGGGUCCUAUUGUUGUGAUGCUUUUUGUUUCUCUUUUUAAUUGAAGUGCUGUCUGUUUUUGCUGUGUUCAGAGUUUGGUUGGGCAAGUGAUGAAUCUCAUUGUAAUUUAAUGGGUAAUUUGCGUCUGAGAUCUUUCAUUGAUGCUUUAUCACCUUGGAGAACUGAUGCCCUCUUUUAUUUUGAGUGAGAUGCACUUCAAAUCUAAUACAAAACUUGUUCAGUUGCACAUAGGCACACGGUCUGCGUAGUCUGCGAAGUGUACCCAACCCUCUUAUUUUGCAACUAUAUUGCGUGCAUUGUGAUGGGUAUGUCACUGAGCAAGAAUUGAAAGCCUUGACGGUAUAUGCAACUGAGGAAGUUCUAGAUUUUCACCUUUUUUUAGUUUUAUCUGUUUUAAGAAUUAACAUUUGUUAGCUCCUUUUAUGUCUAUAAUGACGUUCGUGUUCUUGUGCUGUUGAGUGUUGUGGAAAUGAUGAUAUACUUUACUGGCAUGUUCAUCCUAGGAGGCAAGUGGCUAUUGUAUGUUAAUAUUUUAUAUAGGAAUUUGUUCAUCUAUUUGGUGGGGCACAUGACGAAUAUUAGUAUUGUAAUGGGUAAUUUGCGUCUGAGAUUUACAGUGAUGCCAUUUCAUAUUAAAGAACUGAUGCCCCCCGUCUUUACGUCUUUAAAUUUUUUAAUAUGAUGGUAUAUUGUCGUUCAGAUGGUCGAGCAAAAGGCUCUGUUGUUUUAUUUUUCGGAAGUGAUGCAUCUACCAAAAGAUGCGUCUCGAUAAAAUCUAGAAAAUCUUUUUUUAAUUAAUUGUUAAAGGAAGUGUUUUAAAUGUAUUUUUGUUAAUUUUUUAAAAUAUUUAAAUUGAUUAAAAAAAUGUUUAAAAAAAUAUAUAUAUAUAUAGAUAGAAACUACUAUUAGGAGUAUUCAUUUUGCAUACAUGAUGUGUCAUCAUCUAGACUACACAUCUUCCUAAGUGAGUGUUGAGAAUAAUAAAUUAGAAGCAGUCAUGCAGUGAAUGUAAAGUGUGCAUUGAUAUAGUGGCUUCUCGUUAGCAUUAUUCUAAAAAAAAAUAUAUUUUACAUUUCUAAUACUUCACUGUUUUACGAAGAAAUUGGGGUUUGAAUACUUGUUUCUGUUCCACCUAUGUUGGAAAGUGUGCAUGAAGAGUGGGGGCUAAAGGUUUUCACACAAGGAAAAUGCUAGGUCUACAAAAAUUGUUUACUGAAACCAUCCACUGAAUGACUUGGCUAUUGCGAGGUGGAUCAGACAAACAAAAAUAAAAAUCCUACCUCAUCUCCAGACUCCACCUACAGCCCCUACCCCCCAUCUCCCAGCUCCCUUAUCAGAAGCUAUGACUUACGAGCUCUCAUCUCCCUCAUCUCUACCUAAAAUGCUUCUCCCUAAAAAUCUUGAGCACAUAUCAUAGAACCAGACGAUCUCUCUUCUCUCUAAAAUUCAAAUCUUCGCUUUGUGGCUUCUAUCUUCCUGAGCCAUCUCAUCUCCCUUUUGGCAUCCUUUCAACAUCUCAUCCUUUGAACCAUGAACUCACGUACAAAACCUGAGCCAAAGCCCUUAGCUUCCAUAGCCCGUUGUCCUUCACCUUGAACGAACACCCCCACUCUAAACCCAUGAUUGCCUUAAUCUCUCUCCCCCUUUUAUUUUUAAACCUCCCGGAGCUUCCAUCUUCCUAAGCAAGAACCCUACAUCUCCAUGAGCCCGCUACUUGCCUCCAUCCCGAUUGGUAGAGCUCGAACCCUCCAUCUCUCUGAGCCCGUCGCUUGCCUCCAUCACGAUGUGUAGAGCUUCAUUUACAACAAUAGAGCCUAUGUUGUUACAUAGUAUGCUUCGUUGCUUGUGUAUAAUUUUCACUUCUCUAUCUUAUGUUUUCUAGGAUGAUUUAUGUUCAGCUCGUCUAACUUUUUGCUAUUAUUGAUGGGUUAUAAAUUGUAAUUACUAACUGUUUGAAUUACCAUUGUUGUAAAUGUUUUCUGUAGUGAUUUAUAGUUAUUGAUUUAACAUAUUUGUAACAAUUAAUAUGUUUAAUUGGUAAAAAAAUAAAAAAUUAAAGGAAGGAGAGUUGCAGUUUGGGUUGCGUACAUUGUUUGAAACUCAAGAAGAAAAUAAGAAUUUAAUUUGAUAUAUUUUUUCCUUUUUACUUUGUCCAAGCUAAGUGAGUUAACGAAACAACAAAAUGUAGAAAAAAAUAAAGGGCUCUGUGUUAAAAAAAUGUUGUGUUAAAAUAAAGGCUCUAUUGUUAACACAAUAUGUUGUUGUUACAAUAAUAUUGUUACACAUUUUUUUAACACAAUAUUAUUACACAUUUUUUUAAAAUAGUAUGCUGUUAUAGCAUACGUAGAAAUUUUUUUUUGUCAUGCGUAGCACAGAAUAAUUCUAUUUAAAUGACAGAAAAAAGGAUCCUAAUUAAUUAAGCUCCAUUUUACAUGCAGUAAUAUUAGAGAUUUUGAUUUAAUGGAGUUUGCAAAAAGGGGCACCCGAAUUAUGGACUUUGAUUAUCUUUUCUUAUGGGUUAUGAUUUACUUUCUUCUGCUAAUUGAAUGACAUAAAUACAACAGAUUGUUCAGAAACUUGAAGUUGUAUAUUUCAUUGAUGACAACAAAUAUUGAAGUUGUGUCAAAUGUGUAGAUGAUAACAAGCAGUUACAGUUGUUGGAUGGGCAUGAAUUUGGUGCUGGAGUAAGAGUUGCAGUUGUUGGGUUCUACUCAAUUUUGGUUUGGUAUCUUUGGGGUUUGGGCAAUUUUGAGAUGUACUCUAAUAUUGACAUGUAAUGGAUGAACAUUUUUAUGUUUUGGGUAAUUUUGAGAUGUACUUUAAUAUUGAUAUGUAAUGGAUGAACAUUUUUAUGUUUUGGGCAUUUUUUGUUGUAAAGUUGUAAAUAUGUUACUUUUGAGAAUGAAUGGACAGUUUUAAAUUUGUGUAUA
This is a long non-coding RNA of Juglans regia (Persian walnut), 3284 nucleotides long. RefSeq lists it as uncharacterized. The transcript is spliced from 2 exons. The record is from RefSeq and is a predicted model, not a curated record. Lineage: Eukaryota; Viridiplantae; Streptophyta; Magnoliopsida; Fagales; Juglandaceae.